AUAUUUACCUGGCAGGGGAGACACCAUGAUUAUGAAGGUGGCUCUCCCAGGGCAAAGAUCGUCCCCUGCACUCUAGGGUGAAAAGAGAUUAUUUAAUUAUUUAAUGUACAGCACACAUUAUUUGGGUGAUGGAUACUCUAAAAGCUAUCA
This 150-nucleotide small nuclear RNA is filed under the name Otolemur garnettii (small-eared galago). RNAcentral's name for it is "U1 spliceosomal RNA (ENSOGAG00000020588.1)". It matches the Rfam family "U1 spliceosomal RNA". Rfam says of the family: U1 is a small nuclear RNA (snRNA) component of the spliceosome (involved in pre-mRNA splicing). Its 5' end forms complementary base pairs with the 5' splice junction, thus defining the 5' donor site of an intron. Lineage: Eukaryota; Metazoa; Chordata; Mammalia; Primates; Galagidae. The record is from RNAcentral.